RNAcentral lists this ribosomal RNA (396 nucleotides) under uncultured bacterium. RNAcentral describes it as "partial 16S ribosomal RNA". It matches the Rfam family "Bacterial small subunit ribosomal RNA", at positions 359 to 773 of the family's 1533-position model. The record is from RNAcentral.
GAAAUUGCACAAUGGGGGAAACCCUGAUGCAGCGCCGCCGCGUGGAGGAAUACGGUCCUCUGGAUUGUAAACUCCUGUCUUAUGGGACGAUAAUGACGGUACCUUAGGAGGAAGCACCGUCCAACUACGUGCCAGCAGCCGCGGUAAUACGUAGGGGGCGAGCGUUAUCCGGAAUUACUGGGCGUAAAGGGUGCGUAGGCGGCCUUUUAAGUCAGAUGUGAAAGGCUACGGCUUAACCGUAGUUAGCAUUUGAAACUAAAAGGCUUGAGUGCAGGAGAGGAGAGUGGAAUUCCUAGUGUAGCGGUGAAAUGCGUAGAUAUUAGGAGGAACACCAGUGGCGAAGGCGACUCUCUGGACUGCAACUGACGCUGAGGCACGAAAGCGUGGGGAGCGAAC